UACCAGCACCCCGAGUGGUCGGGACGAUUAUUGGGCCUAAAGCAUCCGUAGCCGGUUUUACAAGUCCUCCGUUAAAUCCAACUGCUUAACAGAUGGGCCGCGGAGGAUACUACAAGACUAGGAGGCAGGAGAGGCAAGCGGUACUCAGUGGGUAGGGGUAAAAUCCGUUGAUCCAUUGAAGAACACCAGUGGCGAAGGCGGCUCACUGGUCCGGUACUGACGCUGAGGUGCGAAAGCGUGGGGAGCAAACAGG
RNAcentral lists this ribosomal RNA (253 nucleotides) under uncultured bacterium. Its description in RNAcentral is "partial 16S ribosomal RNA". The stretch from base 27 to 253 matches the Rfam family "Bacterial small subunit ribosomal RNA", at positions 550 to 776 of the family's 1533-position model. The record is from RNAcentral.